UUUUUCUUUUCCUACUGGAAUUCUACAUCAAACUAUUUCAUUCAUCUCUAUAGAAGAUAUUAUACAGAUUCUAUACCUAUCGCUUUUACACAAGUCCAGAGCAUAUCUUCUAUAAACUUACAUCUAGGCAACAGAAAACUUUUAAUUUCCAGCAGAGACUGCAUGGUUUAGACAGAAUAUGCGCCAAAGCCUGAAACCUAGAUGAUGUCCUGAACAUUGGCAUCUUCCCUUGGUAAUGGAUAGGAUAAAAUCCAUUGUUGAUAUUAUCUGUUACAAGGGAGGACAGAUUGAAAAGAACCUGUGUGUAGCCUAUGACAUUCUGUAUGUAGACCUAGAACGUUUGGGAUGUCCAAAGGCAAAAGAUUUGGGAAAGAAUUGUUAUAAUCAUUAUAAUUUUAAAAACCAUUGCAGUCUCUGCGAAGUCUUAUCCUACAGAUAUUG
This 441-nucleotide long non-coding RNA is filed under the name Androctonus crassicauda. Lineage: Eukaryota; Metazoa; Arthropoda; Arachnida; Scorpiones; Buthidae. The record is from RNAcentral.